GACGAACGCUGGCGGCGUGGAUUAGGCAUGCAAGUCGAACGGUAUCAUCCUUUCGGGGGUGAGAGAGUGGCGAACUGGUGAGUAACACGUAGGUUAUCUACCCUCAAGACGGGGACAACCCAGGGAAACUUGGGCUAAUACCGGAUGUGAGCAACUUUUAGUUGUUUGAAAGGUGGCGUAAGCUGUCGCUUGGGGAUGAGCCUGCGUCCUAUUAGUUAGUUGGUGAGGUAACGGCUCACCUAGGCAAUGAUAGGUAGGCGGCCUUAACGGGUGGUCGCCCACACUGGGAUUGAGAUACGGCCCAGACUCCUACGGGAGGCAGCAGUCGAGAAUAGUCUACAAUGGUCGGAAGACUGAUAGUGCGACGCCGCGUGAACGAUGAAUCCCUUCGGGGUGUAAAGUUCUUUUAUAUGUGAGCAGUGCUUCUUAUAUUAACAGUAUGGGGAAGAGAUAUUAGCAUAUGAAUAAGCAACGGCUAACUCCGUGCCAGCAGCCGCGGUAAAA
RNAcentral lists this ribosomal RNA (504 nucleotides) under uncultured bacterium. Its description in RNAcentral is "bacterial SSU rRNA". It matches the Rfam family "Bacterial small subunit ribosomal RNA", at positions 28 to 525 of the family's 1533-position model. The record is from RNAcentral.